UACACUCCUGCGGGAGGCAGCAGUGGGGAAUAUUGCACAAUGGGCGCAAGCCUGAUGCAGCCAUGCCGCGUGUAUGAAGAAGGCCUUCGGGUUGUAAAGUACUUUCAGCGGGGAGGAAGGCGAUAAGGUUAAUAACCUUGUCGAUUGACGUUACCCGCAGAAGAAGCACCGGCUAACUCCGUGCCAGCAGCCGCGGUAAUACGGAGGGUGCAAGCGUUAAUCGGAAUUACUGGGCGUAAAGCGCACGCAGGCGGUCUGUCAAGUCGGAUGUGAAAGCCCCGGGCUCAACCUGGGAACUGCAUUCGAAACUGGCAGGCUGGAGUCUUGUAGAGGGGGGUAGAAUUCCAGGUGUAGCGGUGAAAUGCGUAGAGAGCUGGAGGAAUACCGGUGGCGAAGGCGGCCCCCUGGACAAAGACUGACGCUCAGGUGCGAAAGCGUGGGGAGCAAACAGGAUUAGAAACCCCAGUAGUCCCAUGA
RNAcentral lists this ribosomal RNA (477 nucleotides) under uncultured organism. RNAcentral describes it as "partial 16S ribosomal RNA". It matches the Rfam family "Bacterial small subunit ribosomal RNA", at positions 332 to 800 of the family's 1533-position model. The record is from RNAcentral.